This 396-nucleotide ribosomal RNA is filed under the name uncultured bacterium. RNAcentral's name for it is "partial 16S ribosomal RNA". It matches the Rfam family "Bacterial small subunit ribosomal RNA", at positions 523 to 918 of the family's 1533-position model. The record is from RNAcentral.
CUACGUAGGGGGCAAGCGUUGUCCGGAAUUAUUGGGCGUAAAGCGCAUGUAGGCGGGUUGGUAAGUCGGUCGUGAAAAUGCGGUGCUUAAAGCCGUAUGGUGUUCGUAAAUGCUGAACUUGAGUGCAGGAGAGGAAACGGGACCUCCCAGCGUUGCGGUGAAGUGCGUAGAUAUUGGGAAGAACACCGGUGGCGAAGGCGCCUUUCUGGACUGUGUCUGACGCUCAGAUGCGAAAGCCAGGGUAGCGAACGGGAUUAGAUACCCCGGUAGUCCUGGCCGUAAACGAUUGGUACUAGGUGUGGGAGGUAUCGACUCCUUCCGUGCCGGAGUUAACGCAAUAAGUAUUCCGCCUGGGGAGUACGGCCGCAAGGUUGAAACUCAAAUGAAUUGGCGGGG